GUGUCCUCAGAACACAAGCUGUGCAAUGAGUGUGGUAACAUGACAAUGACCACAGUUUUCUCAGACUCCACGGUGAUCCUCCCUUGCUGCUUUGACAACAGCAUGAAGGACCCUGUGCUUUGGAGCAAAGACGGGGAACGCAUCGUCCACAUCCACAGCUCAACCAGAGUCGAUUUCCUCAACCAUAAGAUGGGCAGAGUGACCGUGUUACUGUCUCAGUGAAGAUUUUUUCCCCUCCGCAUUGACCGGUUCCAGGCUCUAGAUGUGGGCGUGUAUUGCUGUGAGCAGGGAAACCAGUGCAGGGCGUGGAGGUCAAGCAGAAGCAAUGGAAUACUGCAAAGCCCCAUGAGACGGGUGAUUCUCUAGUUGAACAUGACAUGACCACACUAUGCUCGGUGCAGUCAUUGAGAUUUGGAACUUUCUGUUUGGCACAUCCUGAAGCAUCCACAUCUAAACUGACGGAUUGAUAAUGAUUACCCCUGCUUUGUCUGUCUCCAUGUGCCAGCUGAGUCUACAGGUGUCUUGCAGACAUACAGACACAUAGAUUGAUCAGACAGAUAUCUGUAUUUAGAACAAGUCAUUAGUAAAACCUUUACAUUUU
Long non-coding RNA from Sardina pilchardus (European sardine), 601 nucleotides. RefSeq lists it as uncharacterized. NCBI's taxonomy places the organism in Eukaryota, Metazoa, Chordata, Actinopteri, Clupeiformes, Clupeidae. The transcript has 4 exons. The record is from RefSeq and is a predicted model, not a curated record.